ACAAAUCCAAUAUGUGGGUCAGGGUGUAUAACUCUGACCUAAUAUUAAACCGCUAGUCCCGUCAUUGGGACUAGUUGGAAUAUAAAUGUGUGUAUGUUGACAGUGUGUGUAACUAAAAUUUAUUGA
RNAcentral lists this unclassified non-coding RNA (126 nucleotides) under uncultured Rozellomycota. Its description in RNAcentral is "uncultured Cryptomycota sequence contains ITS1". The record is from RNAcentral. Lineage: Eukaryota; Fungi; Rozellomycota.